Molecule: ribosomal RNA, 492 nt
Filed under: uncultured bacterium
Lineage: Bacteria
Description: partial 16S ribosomal RNA
Rfam family: Bacterial small subunit ribosomal RNA
Source: RNAcentral
AGUGAACGCUGGCGGUAGGCCUAACACAUGCAAGUCGAACGGCAGCACAGUAAGAGCUCGCUCUUACGGGUGGCGAGUGGCGGACGGGUGAGGAAUACAUCGGAAUCUACUUUUUCGUGGGGGAUAACGUAGGGAAACUUACGCUAAUACCGCAUACGACCUACGGGUGAAAGCAGGGGAUCUUCGGACCUUGCGCGAUUGAAUGAGCCGAUGUCGGAUUAGCUAGUUGGCGGGGUAAAGGCCCACCAAGGCGACGAUCCGUAGCUGGUCUGAGAGGAUGAUCAGCCACACUGGAACUGUGACACGGUCCAGACUCCUACGGGAGGCAGCAGUGGGGAAUAUUGGACAAUGGGCGCAAGCCUGAUCCAGCCAUACCGCGUGGGUGAAGAAGGCCUUCGGGUUGUAAAGCCCUUUUGUUGGGAAAGAAAAGCAGCAGGUUAAUACCCCGCUGUUCUGACGGUACCCAAAGAAUAAGCACCGGCUAACUUCGUG